CGGACGCCCACUGCCAGAGCCUCUCCGUCCAGAGCUCACCGGAACGCGCCGCAGUCGCCAAGCCGGUGAGAAGAGGAGGACGCUGGGCCGUUUUCCAGAUCAAACGCUCCUCCCUUUGGAGGAAGGACUCGAGGUUGCUUUGGCAGCUUUUGCAGACAGGCGCACAGCGGCUGCAGAAAAGCCUCCCCCACGGGGGCCCCGAUCCACAGGCCCGACCAGCGCGGCGGAGAAGGCAGAGGCUCUCGGGGGCACCGCGGGGGCCCCAGGAAGCCUCGGGCGCGGGUCCGAGCGGGGCUGAGGCGCCGCGAUCCCCAGAAGCCGGAGGAGCCCGGGCGGAGCGCCGAGACUUGACGCCGACACAAGGGAAAACCUAGAGGAGAGCAAACGGAGACGGACUUCCGCUUCCGGUUUCCGCCCCGCGCUCAACGUAAGGGGCGGGGCCUCCGGAGCUCAGGGAUCAGGAAGUGCGAUGGAGAUGGGGUCGAACGGGGGCGGCGGCUGCUUGCGCCCAAGAGGCAGGCAUGCUGUUGGACCUGGAUCCAGAGCAGGCUUUUCAAAUAGACCAGGGCCAGAGAGCAGGACCCGAGCUGGAGGACCGAGCGGAGCGCUGGGGACCGAGUUAGAAGCCGGCCGGACGCGGAGGGCGGGGCUUGCGUCAUGGCUGUCCCGGGAGGGCGUGGUUCGGGGCGGGGUCAGAGCCCAGGCUUUGUGUACCGACUGCAGGAAGCUCAUCAAAGGCCUUUCGACUGGCCUUUCUCGUGAUUUCUUCAGCCCGAUGCAGCGGUGUGCACAUGUUAGCAAAGGAGGUCAUCAAGAAGGUGUGACUGCCAGUUGAUACUCAGCUGAACCCAGACAAUCGGAGGCUCCCCACUUCGUCCCCUGUCCUUGGAGUAUGCAUUCUGCUUGCCUUCCCUGUUUCCAGAAACUGCCCCAAAUUCAGCCUUGAGAUAGAAAUGUGGUGCUGAGACUAUCUAGAUGGUGUAUGCGUGAUGGAACUCAGUUAAGGCCUCUGUAUAAACUUAAAGAUUUGCUGGGCAGGUGCAGAAAACUACUCAUCUUGCAGCCGCCCAGACGAGCCUCGUAAGAUCGGCUUGUUUGGGAGAGGUCUUUGUGCACUUCGUGGGAAGCACUACGUCUCUUCUGGAUGCGAACGUCUGCCAGUAUGAAGAGCGGCGGAGAGCCUUGCCCACUGAAGGCGCCCACUGGCUGACGGUCA
RNAcentral lists this long non-coding RNA (1216 nucleotides) under Equus asinus (donkey). Its description in RNAcentral is "lncRNA (ENSEASG00005030271.1)". Lineage: Eukaryota; Metazoa; Chordata; Mammalia; Perissodactyla; Equidae. The record is from RNAcentral.